RNAcentral lists this ribosomal RNA (30 nucleotides) under Rhizoctonia solani. RNAcentral's name for it is "partial 18S ribosomal RNA". Lineage: Eukaryota; Fungi; Basidiomycota; Agaricomycetes; Cantharellales; Ceratobasidiaceae. The record is from RNAcentral.
GGUGACCUGCGGAAGGAUCAUUAUUGAAUU